Molecule: ribosomal RNA, 119 nt
Filed under: Pteropus alecto (black flying fox)
Lineage: Eukaryota; Metazoa; Chordata; Mammalia; Chiroptera; Pteropodidae
Source: RNAcentral
GUCUACGGCCAUGCCAUCCUGAACAAGCCUGAUCCCGUCUGAUCUCAGAAGCUAAGCAGGAUCGGGCCUGGUUAGUACUUGGAUGGGAGACCACCUAGGAAGACCAGGUGCUGUAAGUG